Molecule: ribosomal RNA, 253 nt
Filed under: uncultured bacterium
Lineage: Bacteria
Description: partial 16S ribosomal RNA
Rfam family: Bacterial small subunit ribosomal RNA
Source: RNAcentral
UACGGGGGGGGCAAGCGUUGUUCGGAAUUACUGGGCGUAAAGCGUGCGCAGGCGGUUCGUUGUGUCGGUGGUGAAAUCCCCGGGCUUAACCUGGGAAUGGCCAUGGAAACUGGCGAACUGGAGUGUGGCAGAGGGGGGUGGAAUUCCGCGUGUAGCAGUGAAAUGCGUAGAGAUGCGGAGGAACACCGAUGGCGAAGGCAGCCCCCUGGGCUAGCACUGACGCUCAGGCACGAAAGCGUGGGGAGCAAACAGG